AGGCAGGACCACAUUGCUGGGGAUACAGGGUCUGCCUCUAAAAUCAUGAGCUUAAACUGAGCCUGAAACUGCAGGUGCAGAUGACACAGCUCUAGAGUUUUUUGUGAUGGCAGUGUGUUCUUCAAGGUAGAGAAACCAGGAAACAUGCUGCUUGACAGCUAAUGCACCUUAUCUGUCUGUCUCAAAAUCAGAAGUGGCCCAGAGCAUAAAUGCAGAUACUUGCAGAGCCCCAGGUGACAGUAAAUCACCAGGGACCAAUGCCUCAGCUACCAAUCAUCAGAAUAUCCAGUUACAAGAAUGUCUAAUUAAUGGGGAGAACCAGUAAAACAAAGAGGAAUCUUUAUAAAACAGGCUGGAAAAGAAAUUAACUAUAGACCCCAUAUCUGCUAGUAAGAAAAAAAAACAUUCAAGAGCUCUGAUUUUGCAUCUUGCAGCUGCACAGCACUCCCACAUACUACCCGUGUCAAGCUGGCUCCAAUAUUGGAGACAGUGUGUGGAAAAGGAAAUAAUCAACACCAUUUCAGCAGAGAAA
Cyanistes caeruleus (blue tit) is the source of this 532-nucleotide non-coding RNA. The record is from RefSeq and is a predicted model, not a curated record. Lineage: Eukaryota; Metazoa; Chordata; Aves; Passeriformes; Paridae.